AUGUACCCACGUACACUCCGGUUCCUCCGCGCCGUCCGCACCCACCUGACGGCUGUUCGCUACGUUUUGUUAGCC
RNAcentral lists this small RNA (75 nucleotides) under Xanthomonas campestris pv. campestris. RNAcentral describes it as "sX9 sRNA". It matches the Rfam family "Xanthomonas sRNA sX9". Lineage: Bacteria; Pseudomonadati; Pseudomonadota; Gammaproteobacteria; Lysobacterales; Lysobacteraceae. The record is from RNAcentral.